Molecule: small nuclear RNA, 140 nt
Organism: Pteronotus mesoamericanus
Lineage: Eukaryota; Metazoa; Chordata; Mammalia; Chiroptera; Mormoopidae
Product: U4 spliceosomal RNA
Exons: 1
Source: RefSeq, a predicted model, not a curated record
AACUUUGUGCAGUGGCAGUAUCAUAGCCAAUGAGGAUCAUCCAAGGUGUGAUUUUUGCUAAUUGAAAACUGUCCCAAUACCCUGCCAUGACAACUUGAAAUAUAGUUGUCAUUGGCAAUUUUUGACAGUCUCUACGGAUA